UGUGCCUUGAGGCGUGGCUUCCGGAGCUAACGCGUUAAGUCGACCGCCUGGGGAGUACGGCCGCAAGGUUAAAACUCAAAUGAAUUGACGGGGGCCCGCACAAGCGGUGGAGCAUGUGGUUUAAUUCGAUGCAACGCGAAGAACCUUACCUACUCUUGACAUCCAGAGAACUUACCAGAGAUGCAUUGGUGCCUUCGGGAACUCUGAGACAGGUGCUGCAUGGCUGUCGUCAGCUCGUGUUGUGAAAUGUUGGGUUAAGUCCCGCAACGAGCGCAACCCUUAUCCUUUGUUGCCAGCGGUCCGGCCGGGAACUCAAAGGAGACUGCCAGUGAUAAACUGGAGGAAGGUGGGGAUGACGUCAAGUCAUCAUGGCCCUUACGAGUAGGGCUACACACGUGCUACAAUGGCGCAUACAAAGAGAAGCGACCUCGCGAGAGCAAGCGGACCUCAUAAAGUGCGUCGUAGUCCGGAUUGGAGUCUGCAACUCGACUCCAUGAAGUCGGAAUCGCUAGUAAUCGUAGAUCAGAAUGCUACGGUGAAUACGUUCCCGGGCCUUGUACUCCCCGCCCGUCA
Molecule: ribosomal RNA, 573 nt
Filed under: Enterobacterales bacterium
Lineage: Bacteria; Pseudomonadati; Pseudomonadota; Gammaproteobacteria; Enterobacterales
Description: bacterial SSU rRNA
Rfam family: Bacterial small subunit ribosomal RNA
Source: RNAcentral